CGGUAUCUGGCUCAGGAUGAACGCUAGCGGCAGGCCUAACACAUGCAAGUCGAGGGGCAGCAGGGCGUAGCAAUACGCUGCUGGCGACCGGCGCACGGGUGCGUAACGCGUAUGCAACCUACCCUAACAGGGGGAUAACGGAGAGAAAUUUCCACUAAUACCCGUAUUGAUGCGGAUUCGCAUGUUCCGCGUCGAAAGCCUAAUGGUGGUUAGGGAUGGGCAUGCGUGGCAUUAGGUAGUUGGCGGGCAACGGCCCACCAAGCCCACGAUGCCUAGGGGAGGCUGAGAGGCUAAUCCCCACCACUGGUACUGAGACACGGACCAGACUCCUACGGGAGGCAGCAGUGAGGAAUAUUGGUCAAUGGAGGGGAACUCUGAACCAGCCAUGCCGCGUGAGGGAGGGAAAGGCCCUAUGGGUUGUAAACCUCUUUUGCCUGGGGGCAAUAAGGCGCAUGCGUGCGUUGAUGAGAGUACCAGGCGAAUAAGCAUCGGCUAACUCCGUGCCAGCCGCGGC
RNAcentral lists this ribosomal RNA (514 nucleotides) under uncultured bacterium. RNAcentral's name for it is "bacterial SSU rRNA". It matches the Rfam family "Bacterial small subunit ribosomal RNA", at positions 13 to 518 of the family's 1533-position model. The record is from RNAcentral.